Molecule: ribosomal RNA, 520 nt
Filed under: uncultured bacterium
Lineage: Bacteria
Description: bacterial SSU rRNA
Rfam family: Bacterial small subunit ribosomal RNA
Source: RNAcentral
GGGAACAUACCCUUUUCUACGGAAUAGCUCUGAGAAACUGGAAUUAAUACCGUAUACGCCCUACGGGGGAAAGAUUUAUCGGGGAAGGAUUGGCCCGCGUUGGAUUAGCUAGUUGGUGGGGUAAAGGCCUACCAAGGCGACGAUCCAUAGCUGGUCUGAGAGGAUGAUCAGCCACAUUGGGACUGAGACACGGCCCAAACUCCUACGGGAGGCAGCAGUGGGGAAUAUUGGACAAUGGGCGCAAGCCUGAUCCAGCCAUGCCGCGUGAGUGAUGAAGGCCUUAGGGUUGUAAAGCUCUUUCACCGAUGAAGAUAAUGACGGUAGUCGGAGAAGAAGCCCCGGCUAACUUCGUGCCAGCAGCCGCGGUAAUACGAAGGGGGCUAGCGUUGUUCGGAAUUACUGGGCGUAAAGCGCACGUAGGCGGAUAUUUAAGUCAGGGGUGAAAUCCCAGAGCUCAACUCUGGAACUGCCUUUGAUACUGGGUAUCUUGAGUAUGGAAGAGGUAAGUGGAAUUGCGAGU